UGGGGCGGGAAAUGCGCUGGGGAGGCGAGGCUGUGCCGGGAUGCUGGGCCCAGCCUCUCCUGGGCCCCUAGAGCCAGCCCGGGAAAGAGGAGUUUAAGACCAAGCAUGUUCUGAGAACACCACACAGCAAGUACUGGGCUACAUGUUGUACAGACAUUCUCAUCAUGUCACUGGAACUUCUCAGCUAACCUGAUCAGAGAAACUGUGAAGCAGAGGACUCAAUGAAAUGGUGCCUGAACUCCUAACCGUAGUCAGAAUCCACUACUCUACCACUAAUGUCUCUUCCAUCCGGCUCUGCAGCACCUGAGCAAAAGACCUCUGCAGCUGAGUCCAAAGAGCAUUCCCAUGUGAACCGAGCAACCAAGUAUCAUCGGGGUGGCUGAGCCUGGGAUUUCCAACUUGGGAGACUACACAGUGGACUCUAUAAUGAUUAGUGGCAGCAUCCAAUGUCUCUUCCAAGUCUAAAAUUUGUGAGUUUCAAAGUUGACUCUCCCCAAACCUGGCCUUUGCUGCCUCAGAUUCUGUCACUCUAGCAAGGCAGAGAGAGCAAAAGGGGCAAGACAAACCUCAUCAACAGCACAGAAAUCCCAGAAUCACACACUCUCUGGUCCAGCCAAGCCAAGUGUUUUUUUUUUUGUUGUUGUUGUUGUUUUUUAAAUCACCCUCCAUUACUCAACAUUCUCGUUCCCAGAUGAAUUUUAAACUGGAGUUGCACCAACUGUGAGACAGCC
Molecule: long non-coding RNA, 731 nt
Filed under: Homo sapiens (human)
Lineage: Eukaryota; Metazoa; Chordata; Mammalia; Primates; Hominidae
Description: long non-coding RNA NONHSAT151506.1
Source: RNAcentral